Molecule: ribosomal RNA, 821 nt
Filed under: uncultured Gemmatimonadota bacterium
Lineage: Bacteria; Pseudomonadati; Gemmatimonadota
Description: bacterial SSU rRNA
Rfam family: Bacterial small subunit ribosomal RNA
Source: RNAcentral
CAAGUCGAACGGGACUGGGGGCAACUCCAGUUCAGUGGCGGACGGGUGCGUAACACGUGAGGAACAUGACUUUCGGCGGGGGAUAGCCGGCCCAACGGCCGGGUAAUACCGCGUACGACCUCUCGGGGACAUCCCCGGUUGGUGAAAGCAGCAAUGCACCGAAAGAGUGCCUCGCGGCCUAUCAGCUAGUUGGUGAGGUAAUGGCUCACCAAGGCGACGACGGGUAGCUGGUCUGAGAGGAUGGCCAGCCACAUUGGGACUGAGACACGGCCCAGACCCCUACGGGAGGCAGCAGUGGGGAAUAUUGCGCAAUGGGCGAAAGCCUGACGCAGCGACGCCGCGUGUGGGAUGACGGCCUUCGGGUCGUAAACCACUGUCGGGAGGGACGAAUGCGCCGCAAGGCGAGUGACGGUACCUCCAAAGGAAGCACCGGCUAACUCCGUGCCAGCAGCCGCGGUAAUACGGAGGGUGCGAGCGUUGUCCGGAAUCACUGGGCGUAAAGGGCGCGUAGGCGGCCUGGUAAGUAGGGGGUGAAAUCCUGCGGCUUAACCGCAGGGCUGCCUUCUAAACUGUCAGGCUCGAGCACGGUAGAGGCAGAUGGAAUUCCCGGUGUAGCGGUGGAAUGCGUAGAGAUCGGGAAGAACAUCAGUGGCGAAGGCGGUCUGCCGGGCCGUUGCUGACGCUGAGGCGCGACAGCGUGGGGAGCAAACAGGAUUAGAUACCCUGGUAGUCCACGCCGUAAACGAUGGGCACUAGGCGUCGGGGGGAGCGACCCUCCCGGUGCCGUCGCUAACGCAGUAAGUGCCCCGCCUGGGGAGUAC